AUACUUUUCCAAUUUGUAAGCAUGAUGAUUGAGUGUUCACACUUUUGUGUGAUAUAUGCCUCCAUAAACCUAGGAUCAUCAACAUAUUACCUGUAUGAGU
Molecule: small nucleolar RNA, 100 nt
Organism: Suncus etruscus (white-toothed pygmy shrew)
Lineage: Eukaryota; Metazoa; Chordata; Mammalia; Eulipotyphla; Soricidae
Product: small nucleolar RNA U13
Exons: 1
Source: RefSeq, a predicted model, not a curated record